GGGCGAUUAACUCAGCGGUAGAGUGUUUCCCUUACAAGGAAGUGGUCACUGGUUCGAAUCCAGUAUCGCCCAC
RNAcentral lists this transfer RNA (73 nucleotides) under compost metagenome. Its description in RNAcentral is "tRNA-Val". It matches the Rfam family "tRNA". Rfam says of the family: Transfer RNA (tRNA) molecules are approximately 80 nucleotides in length. Their secondary structure includes four short double-helical elements and three loops (D, anti-codon, and T loops). Further hydrogen bonds mediate the characteristic L-shaped molecular structure. tRNAs have two regions of fundamental functional importance: the anti-codon, which is responsible for specific mRNA codon recognition, and the 3' end, to which the tRNAs corresponding amino acid is attached (by aminoacyl-tRNA synthetases). tRNAs cope with the degeneracy of the genetic code in two manners: having more than one tRNA (with a specific anti-codon) for a particular amino acid; and 'wobble' base-pairing, i.e. permitting non-standard base-pairing at the 3rd anti-codon position. The record is from RNAcentral.